AGAGACAACGUAGGAGAAGAAGAAUGAAUAGGGAAGAGAAAGAAAUCGAAGGUGGUGUACGGCUAAGGAGGAAGGAAGAGUUUUAUUUUAAACCGGUUGGAGUUUUUGAAGCUUGUUUUUGGGUCGAGCAGAAAUUGGAACGGAGGACGAUCAAGUUUGAAGGAUUAGCUGUACCUGAGUAUCUGAGUUUCUGAGUUUCAAGAAGAAUUUAGUUCAGCUUCUGCCACCCCGAGUUGUUUAAGAGUUGCAUAUCUCUUUGUAUGUAGUUUAGUUGGUUUGUAAGAAAUUUUAUCUGCAUUCUAUUGAUAGGAAAAGAAUGUAUAGAAUGGAUGUAAGAAUGGUUGUUUGGUUAAGAUUAAUAUUUUAUUGUGCAUC
Momordica charantia (bitter melon) is the source of this 375-nucleotide non-coding RNA. NCBI's taxonomy places the organism in Eukaryota, Viridiplantae, Streptophyta, Magnoliopsida, Cucurbitales, Cucurbitaceae. The record is from RefSeq and is a predicted model, not a curated record.